RNAcentral lists this small nuclear RNA (308 nucleotides) under Chinchilla lanigera (long-tailed chinchilla). RNAcentral describes it as "7SK RNA (ENSCLAG00000021495.1)". It matches the Rfam family "7SK RNA". From Rfam's summary of the family: 7SK was discovered as an abundant small nuclear RNA in the mid-70s but a possible function has only recently been suggested. Two independent studies have found that 7SK RNA binds the CDK9/cyclin T complex (known as elongation factor P-TEFb). P-TEFb activates transcription by phosphorylating the C-terminal domain of RNA polymerase II. The record is from Rfam by way of RNAcentral. Lineage: Eukaryota; Metazoa; Chordata; Mammalia; Rodentia; Chinchillidae.
AAAGGUGCUGGAUCUGGCUGUGACAUCUGUCACCCCACUGAUUGUCAGGGUUGAUUAGGCUGAUCUGGCUGUCUAGGCAGGUGUCCCCUUCCUUCUUCACUGUUUCAUGUGUGUCCCUCCUGAAGCUUCGUGCUUGGUCAGAGGAUGACCACCCCUGACAGAGGAGGACCGGUUCCUCAGCCAGGGGUGUACGAGUAGCCGUGCUCCCCUGCUAGAACCUCCAAACAAGCUCUCACGAGGAAAGGUGUUUCCUGUAUCUCAGGCUCUGCAGCCAGAGCAAGGUGCAGAGCACGGAGGCCCAGGUUUCU